UUAAUAGCUUCAAUAGACUAUUUUCAAUAAAGACAAGCUCAUAAAAGCAGCAGUUAAAAUGUUGACAAUAAGUCAAGUUCUUAUAGCUUUGGUUGUAUUUCUUCUAACUAUGCAGUUUUUAAAAUUGCAACGAGCACGGAGACGACUUCCUCCUGGACCAAUCCCUCUCCCAAUUCUUGGAACCUUCCUACAGCUGAACUUUCAGUUUAAUUGUGAUCUCCUCAUGAAGCUGGCAAAAAUUCAUGGCAACGUGUUCACCUUAUGGUUUGGAUGGGCCCCAGUGAUCAUACUGAAUGGAUUUCAAGCAGUUAAGGAUGGUAUGACUACACACCCUGAAGAUAUUUCUGGGAGACUAGUGUCUCCUUUCUUCAGAGCAAUGGCCAAAGGAAAAGGGAUUAUGUUGGCAACUGGUCACACCUGGAAGCAGCAGAGAAGGUUUGCACUGAGGACUCUACGCAACUUGGGUCUGGGGAAGAGAGGCCUUGAGCAUCGAGUUCAAGAAGAGGCCUGCUACCUGGUAGAAUACUUUGCAAGUAUGAAAGAAAAACCUUUGGAUCCUUCUUUCCCUCUCUUUCAUUCCGUCUCAAAUGUAAUUUGUGCUGUCGUUUUUGGCCAUCGCUUCUCCAGUGAGGAUGAAACCUUCCAUGAGCUGAUUAAAGCCACAGAGUGUAUAUUCAAAUUUGGAGGCAGCUUUAUUCAUUACCUGUACGAAAUUUUCCCCUGGCUGAUGCAUCAUCUCCCUGGUCCUCAUAAGAAGGCAUUGUCCAGCUAUGAUGCCCUCAGCUCUUUUGCAAGGAGGGAGAUCAGAAGGCAUAAGGAGAGAGGGGUACGAGACGAACCGCAAGACUUCAUUGACUUUUACCUGGCUCAUAUUGAAAAAUCCAAAGAUGAACCCAGGUCUACAUAUGAUGAUGACAAUCUGGUUUAUUCUAUAAAUGACCUUUUCUUGGGUGGAUCAGAGACAAGUAGUACUACUUUGAACUGGGGACUGCUCUAUAUGGUGGCAAAUCCAGACAUUCAAGAGAAAGUGCAGGAGGAGCUGGAUGCUGUUUUAGGUCCUUCCCAGUUAAUUUGCUACGAGGAUCGAAGAAGACUGCCCUAUACAAAUGCUGUGGUUCAUGAAGUCCAGCGCUUCAGCAACAUUAUCUCAGUUGGCAUGCCUAGAGUAUGUGUGAGGAACACAACAUUGCUGGGCUUUCCCCUCAAAAAGGGCAGCAUUGUUCUUCCAAAUAUUGCUUCCUCUUUGUAUGAUCCAGAGCAGUGGGAAACACCUCGACAGUUCAACCCUGGUCAUUUCUUGGAUAAGGAUGGAAACUUUGUGAGCCAAGAAGCCUUUUUACCAUUCUCAAUAGAUGCUGAGGGAGAGGAUAGCCCAGCACACGAGGUGUGGCAGCAGGACAUCAGCAGAGGCUCACGGCAGGGAGAUGCAGGACCCAGGUGUUACCCUGGGAGCAGCCACGAGCUACCAGGGUGCAGCAGGGUACUUAGAACACUAUCAACCUCAGAGCAACUGGCAAUUAUCUAUGAGAACCUGUGGAGAAUGGGAAAAGGUCAGACUACUUCUUUUGAAGGCCUGUCUUCAAAAGCAGUGCAUCCUCCAGUGAACCAGGCAGAGGGCAACAAAGAUCCCUGAAAGGGCUGUUGUCUGCACUGCAAGUGUUGCUCUGUGUCUGACAGAAGAAGACUAAGACAGAGCUCACCCAAAUAACUCUCUCUGAACAACACCAUCAUUUGAUCAAAGAAAGCCCUCUCCUCCUUGAAUCUGAAUGGCAGAAGAUGUCUCCACAACUCAGCCCAAAGUGUGCAAUGAAGGAAGAUAGAAAACUACCUUUGCGUCUUGUCUUUCUGAAAGGUACCUAUCUCCCAAGUUCACUAUCCGCAGUCAUUAUAGUGAUGAGUGUGUCAAGAGUGAAAGGCUCAUUUGCAACACUCCCCACUGGGUAAGUCAGUCACCUUCAUUUUGGAUCUAACCAGCCUAAGUAAGUCAGGACCUAUCUCAAAUGCUCUUAUCAUUUUCUGUGCUGAAAUGAUGUAGCUAUGUCAAUUCAGUGCACGGAGCUGGUGCAGUAAGCUGAGAAUGACCAUCUCUGCAGUUUAUCUAUUCUUAGCCUUGAACACGCAGACAGACUGACCAGGUCAUUUCAGACUGCUGGAUCAUGAGCUGGAGGGGGAGAAUACCAUCCUCAGAGCUGUAUUCUAGGACUGGGGCUCUUCUGAGGUCAAAACGCUUGCCUUGGAAGUGCCCACUCUUCUGCUGCAGGGUUCAUCUGCCCCUGGCAUCUCUCUAGGACGUGUUUAUAAUCCCUUGGUCAGGCAUGCUGAGGCGCGUGUGUCCUCCAACUCCUCUUCUGAUCAUUGAUUCAGUGAGACUGAGACUCAUUAAUCCUUGGCCUGUGUGUGGCUGAGGCAGGUUUGGUACCAAGACUCUUGUGCUUCAUGCAGAGCCCCAGGAUAUUGCAUCUAACUCUAGGUCUUCCCACUUUCCUUGGGGCAAGGUACCUUAUAUGUUGUGUGGCUUUACAUUUGGCUGUACGGAAGCACAGUAUUUGUGUAUUUGUAUUGAGCUGACUCUAUGUUUGCCAUCUCUGUCAAUGAUCUGCUGUCUUCAGUUGCACUGUUCUCUCAGUCUUUGUGAGAUUUACAAGCUUUAUAAAUAACAUUUUUAGUUUUUCUUAAAUUAAUGGUUUUAGGUAAUUGAAAAACAUAUUAAGGAAUGUAGAGUCAAGAACAGAUCUCUCUGAACACUUGAAAAAAACGUGGAAAUAUGGUUCCUUGCUUACCUUUCAAUUAGUCUGUGUCAUGUUCAGCUUAUUUUGUUCUAGAUGCUUAAGCAAAAAGCCCUGUAAUACCUGUAAUCUUUUCAAAUAAAGAAAUCAAAUAACUUCAAUGUGAUCUAUUUUAUGUUGGAGAUUGUUUUCUUAAAUCUGUGCAAUUUUAAGAUUGUAGAGGGAAUAGUUUUUACCAUGUAAUGCUGGGUUAUUCUUAGGGUGGAAAAUACGGGCAGUCACCUUCUGUUCUAGCUUUAACUUUGCCUCAUCCAGUUCCUUUAUCACACUUACAGUGAUACCCUAGAGGUUUUUACCUAUCAGUUUUGCUAAUUGUUGUAAUUGUAUCCUUGUUUUUGUAUUUAAUAUAACUUCUGCUGUGUUCCGCUGGCUUUUCCCUGCUCUGAUAUCAAUAAAAAUUAUUUUUAUCUGUGGUCAUUACAAGCUUUUAACA
Dromaius novaehollandiae (emu) is the source of this 3219-nucleotide RNA transcript. It is a transcript of the gene named cytochrome P450 2J4-like, with no coding region annotated. NCBI's taxonomy places the organism in Eukaryota, Metazoa, Chordata, Aves, Casuariiformes, Dromaiidae. The record is from RefSeq and is a predicted model, not a curated record. The transcript has 13 exons.